Non-coding RNA from Danio rerio (zebrafish), 1601 nucleotides. NCBI's taxonomy places the organism in Eukaryota, Metazoa, Chordata, Actinopteri, Cypriniformes, Danionidae. The record is from RefSeq and is a predicted model, not a curated record.
UGACUCUAUGCAAAGCGCCCACGAUGCGCGUGCUGCUGUGAGCACAUGGAGGAGAGAGGACGUUCACUUAGCAGCCUGGCUAAUGUAGCCCGUGGCUCGCAAAAUAUUACGAAAUUAGCAACAUUUUUCACCUGGAAAGUGAGCUGACUCGCCCAAGGCGUCCAAAAAUGAUGAAAGAUACUCAUAACCACUUCAGGGAGAGUAAAAGAUAAGGAGAAAGAAAAACAUUGAAGAUGUGAGUUGUCCCACAAUGAGACUCGAUCUUCAAAAUGGAGCUUGUUGUUUCCUGAGUCUGAGACACAACUGAGUGGUGGAUGGCUUGAGCUCCGUUGAAAGAUUAAAAACAGGAAAUGCUCCCCACCCAGAUAUGAAGAGUAAGGAGAGGCAGAGAUAGUGAAGAGGUUGUGUAUCAGAUAACCGUACCCUCUGUUGGUGGACUCAAAUUGGACUGAAUUCCUCAGUAAAGUGGUCUCUCAUCUCUAUCAUGGGACGUGUUGUACUUCGUGGUUACUGGGUGGUCCUGUCACAGAGGGCAGCAGGCCAGGCACACGUGUACCAGUGCUCUAAAGAAGGCCAGUUCAGUGGAAACUAGCAAGCAAACACUCCAAAAAGGACACGCGCUCCCUCAAUGUCAGCAAAUAUUUGGUCACAACUUCAAAGAGCAGUGACAGUCAUUUGAAACUGCGGAUCGGACUCAUGUUUGUCACUGUAAGAGCAGGUGGAAUGUUUCAUUUUUCUUGCUUUAUUUUUGUAGGCCACGUGGCAACAUGUUUUAGAGGCAGUCUGUGAUGUAACAGCACUGCUGUCACCUGCAUGUCCAGCUGUGCUGGUGGCUCAGAGAAGUGGACUAAUGAGGGUCCUAAGGUGAAUCUGAUGGAUUGAAUGAAGUGUAAUUAGAAAGAUGGAUUGUCACUCAAGUGUGACAGCCAGCUCAUUCUGUACCUGAAGUGUUCAGAAAUCUGCCUACUAGUCUGUUAGGACUCUAUGGACAAAAAAUGUAAUAUCAUUAACAAAGGGUAAAAUAUAGAGGUCUACAACUUGUUCCCUUUAAGGGUUUGGAUUAUGAAGAACAUCACACCAAGUAUGUUUAUCUGAGGGUAGUCGGGCAGUUUAUACAAGUGUGUAUUAUUUGUCUGUCUUUCUGUAUGAUAUAUUCUGACUCUUUGACUUUUGAAUGAAAUUUUACCCCAAAACUCCUGUACGCAGAUGCAUUGCAAUGCAUAAUUUGUUCUGAGACAAAAGAGGUAAAGCACACAGCAUAUAAUUAUAUCUCACAAUGUCAGUGUCUAGUAAUCUCAUGAGUAUUUGUAUUCACAUCAAAUAUGGUUCUACCAAAUAUAUAUAUUUACUGUACUUAUUAAAAAAGUCUUAAUACAUUGACACAAACAGCACAAUAUUGUGAUACUGACUAUCUAAAAUGAAUUGUUUUUGUAUGACCAUGUCCAUAAACUAAUAAAAAAAUCUUGAUUAUGUAGUGUAAUGUAAUUUGAUUAACCAUUAUUCAUUUAAUUAUACUUUAGUUCACCAUGGAACACACAAUAGGCUUGUUAAGUCAAACUGUGACACCAAAACUGCCAAAUAAAAACACAAAAGCAAUCAAA